Molecule: ribosomal RNA, 364 nt
Filed under: uncultured bacterium
Lineage: Bacteria
Description: bacterial SSU rRNA
Rfam family: Bacterial small subunit ribosomal RNA
Source: RNAcentral
AACGAACGCUGGCGGCAGGCCUCAAACAUGCAAGUCUAGGGGGUGCAGCAAUGCAUCACCGGCGGACGGGUGCGUAACGCGUGGGAAUAUACCUAUUGGUUCGGAACAACUGCGGGAAACUGCAGCUAAUACCGAAUGUGCCCUAACGGGGAAAGAUUUAUCGCCAAUGGAUUAGCCCGCGUAGGAUUAGCUAGUUGGUGGGGUAAUGGCUCACCAAGGCUCCGAUCCUUAGCUGUUCUGAGAGGAAGAUCAGCCACACUGGGACUGAGACACGGCCCAGACUCCUACGAGAGGCAGCAGUUGGGAAUCUUGGACAAUGGGGGAAACCCUGAUCCAGCCAUGCCGCGUGAGUGAUGAAGGCCUU